GGACAUACCUCUUGGUUUACUUGCCUUAGUGACAUAUGAUCCAGACUCCGGAGACAAAGGAAGGUCAGCCCCAUAUAUAAAUCAAUCUCUACAUCAGCCUGAGCUAUGGUGAGACCCUGCCCAUCCCCCCUCCAAAAAAAAGUUUUGGUAUACUUUUUUUUUCUUUUUUCCUUUUUUCAGAGCUGGGGACCGAACCCAGGGCCUUGCGCUCGCUAGGCAAGCGCUCUACCGCUGAGCUAAAUCCCCAACCCCCAUACUUAUUUUUUUAUCUAAAGAAAGUUUCUUUUGCAGGGUUAUUAAUAGUUUGUGAGGUGCAUGUUAGAAAUGCUGAUAAGAUAAAAGCAUAAGCUAUUGGUUAAA
RNAcentral lists this long non-coding RNA (360 nucleotides) under Rattus norvegicus (Norway rat). RNAcentral's name for it is "long non-coding RNA NONRATT009484". The record is from RNAcentral. Lineage: Eukaryota; Metazoa; Chordata; Mammalia; Rodentia; Muridae.